This 241-nucleotide ribosomal RNA is filed under the name uncultured Staphylococcus sp. RNAcentral's name for it is "partial 16S ribosomal RNA". It matches the Rfam family "Bacterial small subunit ribosomal RNA", at positions 100 to 334 of the family's 1533-position model. The record is from RNAcentral. Lineage: Bacteria; Bacillati; Bacillota; Bacilli; Caryophanales; Staphylococcaceae.
GGACGGGUGAGUAACACGUGGAUAACCUACCUAUAAGACUGGGAUAACUUCGGGAAACCGGAGCUAAUACCGGAUAAUAUAUUGAACCGCAUGGUUCAAUAGUGAAAGACGGUUUUGCUGUCACUUAUAGAUGGAUCCGCGCCGCAUUAGCUAGUUGGUAAGGUAACGGCUUACCAAGGCAACGAUGCGUAGCCGACCUGAGGAGGGUGAUCGGCCACACUGGAACUGAGACACGGUCCAG